This is a long non-coding RNA of Lutra lutra (Eurasian river otter), 4410 nucleotides long. RefSeq lists it as uncharacterized. The record is from RefSeq and is a predicted model, not a curated record. NCBI's taxonomy places the organism in Eukaryota, Metazoa, Chordata, Mammalia, Carnivora, Mustelidae. The transcript is spliced from 3 exons.
AUUCUGUGGUUUUCAGUGUGUGCAGACGAGGGAGGCCAAGAGAGAUCUGGAGGAUAUUAAGAAAGAAGCACCUCUUGCAUUUGGUGACUGGUUUGGAGAAAAGGAGUGGUGCCUGUAGAUGUUUGGAUGGGGGUGGCCGCUCCCACAGAUGACAUUACAGGAGGAGGAGCAGGUAGGAAGUGGACGGUGUGGAGUUUGACCCUGGCAACUUUGAGAUAAGGGUAGGCAGUCUGAGACGCAGGAGGAAGUUGGAGGUAGAGGACGUACUAGUGUGGUGAUGCUGGUUGAAGACAGGAGUGUGUUUAAACCUGGUGAACACUGAAGGACGCACCUGCUGUGUCGUCAGCUUUCACUCAAUUAAAAAAAGCUUAGGGGAUGUCUGCUGUGGUCCCAGAACCUCUGCAGUGACUCUGUUAGCCCUCUGCAGAAGCCUGCAAGGAAGAAUUUGUUUCCCGCUCCCGGGCCAAGCUGAAGAAAGGAUGUAGGUACGGGGAGCAGUCCAAUUUUACGGGGAGGUGCCGGGAAGAGCAAUGAGCUUGCUCAAGGUCAGACAGCACAGAAGGUAGCAGAGGGGGGAUCUGGAGCAGGUCUUUUGCAGCCUGGUCUUUAUCACAACUGCUUUUCAUGCUGUGGGUGAACUUGGAGCAGAAGGUGCUCAUAUUGGGGUAGGAUGUGGUACCCACAGGGGGUUGCACGAGUAGGUGGGCUGAGGUCAACCUGACCACGGCCUUGACUCUUGUUCAGGUACUGAAUUCUGUAUUGGGCACGUCAUGAGGAAGACUCACUCAACCCAGUGAUCUGGUAACCUUUGCAAAGGGUUUGGCUCUCUUUUUAUUAUCCUUGCUGGAGCAGGAGGCUUAACUGCCUCUCAGGCCUCCACAUCUCCUGCCAUCCAAGUGGCUGGAGGUGAGGUCUGCAAUGAGCCAAAACGGACCCCAGGGCAGGCCUGUCUCUGGUGAGAGGAGACGUUCCCUAGCAUGAGGUUUAAAAAGGUUUGCACAAAGGGGGUGAGGGGUGGGGGGCAAAGUGGGAGGGGGCACUUAAUCACCCACAUUUAUUUAGCAGGAGGCUGAGGUAGUGGGUUGAAUUGCAUCCCCCAUCCCCCAUAAAUAUGUUCAAGUCCUAACCCCUGGUACCUGUAAAUGGUCCUUCUUUGGAAAAGGGGUCUUUGCUGAUGUAAUGACCUUACUUGAGUGUGAGAUGAGAUCAUCCUGGAUUCGGGGUGAGUGCUAAAUCCACGAAUUGGUGUCCUCAUAAAAGAAAGGGGAGGGGGAUCUAACACACGCGAAGAGGUCCCUGGGAAGCUGGAGGCAGAGAAUGGAGGUCUGCCGCAAGCUCGCGCCCAAGAGCAUUUGGAAGGAGCGCAGCCCUAUGGACAUCUCGAUUUUGACCCAGGAAGACUAAUUCAGAUUUCUGGCUUCCAGAACUGUGAGAGAAUAAAUUCCUAUUGUUGUAAGCCACCCAGUUUGUGGUAAUUUGUUGUCAUAGCCCCAGGAAAGCAAUUCGGUCUCAAACACAGGGCAGGCAAGAGCCUCCUAUGCCUGAGGCAGGCAUCAGUAAUCACUCAGCAUUCUUUCCCAUGGAAGCCGGUGGAAGCAGACCCUGCCCCAUUCCGACCAGCUGCAAACCCCUGACUGGAGCUGGCAAGCCCCGUGAAACUCAUCGGCAUCCUUGGUUUGGUGCCUACCCCUGGGUGACGCCCUGGCAGUUCGGGAAAGGGUCUGGCGGGACCACGGUUCUCAAGGGGCUGGGCGUCUUUGCCUGUGUGGGGUGUGGGGGGCGUGGGGGGCGUGGGGAUGUGAGGUCUCGCCUCUGCAGCAUUAACAGCUCUCGUCAGUGUUUGAACAUCUGCUCAGGCCCACCUAGACUCUAUUCAACAGCUGGGCGUCCUCCAGCUCGCUGGCUGCCCAGCUGUGGACCUGCACACGGCAGCCCAGCAGUCAGUCGUGGCUUACCCCCAUGAGAUGAAUAAGUCACCCACCGAGCAUUCAGCAGUGAAAACCACGUGAUAAAUAAAAUGCACCAGUGCCUAGAUUUAAGGGCCUUCCCAAGGAGGCCUCCUUAACUUGGAAAGGAGCCAUGGAGAGAGCACAGAGGAGGUGUGACCUGGGAGCUGGGUCUUGAAGGAGGAGGAGAAAUUUAUCCAGCUUCCCAUAUUUGUGACCCUGAAGAAGUUGCCUUUCCCAUGGCUUCCUCCUGAAAGAAGUCACGGAAAAUUUCUCAAGGAGUUCAAAGCUGGAGUCUGGAUCCUCUCACAGCAGCUUUCAGAGCCCAGGGGUAGAGCUCAGGAAUCCUCCUUUCUGAGCCUGUGGCCCCCUGCUGCGCUGCCCUCUCCUUGCCCUGAAAAGUCACUGCUCACCUGCCAUGUUUGUUCUUGACCCCAGACCCAGUGAAAGCCCCUGUCCUGGCCUCAGCUCACAUGAAAAGGCACAGGUUACAAUAAUCAGGGAACAAUACGUGUAUCUUCAGGACAUGCCAAGCUUAACCAUUGAAGAGAGCUUGGGAUUUGGAGUAUCUGGCAAGGACAGUCACAGUGCCUUCCUGUAUGUCACUGUUGCUCAUGCAGGUUAAGCAGACAAGCCAACAUGUUACGAUUUAGAUAACUGUGCUGUGACGCGCUUCCUGCCACGCUCACCCUGCACUUCUGAGGCUCCCUGGCGGACCCCCUCAUGCCCUCCUGAUGCAGUGGACUACUUCAUGGCCGGUGGACACCUGCAGAGCUGAAAACCUGACCCUAGGGAGGCUGCUGUCUCUUCCCCCUGAGAGAACAGGGAAGGCUCUCACCUUAGAAGCACAGUCAUGGUAGUAGCUCUGGUUGUCUCUGUGGCCAGAGGGUAGUGAAGGGGGCACAGAUAGCAUUUGGGGAUGACCAGAAGAACACAGACCUGAGGUGGGGUGAUGGUGGAGCAUCCGGGCUAUUGUGUGGGGCUGGAUGCUGGAUAUGGACCCUUGGGCACAGGGUCUGUUAAGGGAUGAGAUGCAGGAAGCCCAGGGGGAACAUUCACCAAGGGCUCAGGUUUAGAUUUUUAUAUGAUAGCAAUAAAUAUGGGCACAGAGAUACAGGGACAGGACUGAAAGGCUUUCUGUCCCUUAAAACUGGCAGCUCCUGGCUUUCAGCUCUUAUGAUGGGUCAAGCACAGCCGCUGCUCACAAGUAAGAGAAUAGUGUGGGGUUAAAAUUUAUAGAACCUACAGUGCUUAUAAUACACUGGAAAAAAUAUGCACAUACACCCAUACAAUAUAUAUAUUACAUAUUACAUACAAUAUAUAUGCCAUUAAAUUCUGUACUCUUACGUGGCUUGUACUUUUGUGUUCAUAUAGUAAUUUGCUCAAUGUAAUGAUUUAGAUGACGUUAGAAGUUUUGUGAUCAGUGUCUGGAACUUUCCUUUUCUGACUGGCUGUGAGGCGCAGCCCCUGGAGGCCUAGCUGGCCCUUCUUUGCCAGCAGGCCCUGUGGGGAGAUGGCUGGUCCCUCUGAGCCUUCCUCUGCAGAUGGUGGGCUUGAGAUUGUCCAGGCUGCCAAUAGGACACCAUCUUUUUUUUGUUGUUAAGAAAAAAAAAAAAAUCAGUAAAUGUCUCAUCUGCCCAUCCAGAAAGAUGGGGACCAAAUGAGCAGUGUUUACCUCUUGGGAGAGUGGAAGGAUUUCUGCAUUUUUAUAUAUUGUGUGUCUCAGUGCACCAAAAGAGUGAGAGUUAUGAUUUUUUCCUUUUGUGGUUUUCUGUACCUUUAAAUAAAUAAAAUUAAAAAUAAAGCCCAGUCACUGCAUUCUGGGAAUAUUUGUGCUGAGUAGUCAUGUUCUAAGGUCACGGAGAUAGGGUUUCCCCGUCUCAGAAAGCCUGUCAGCACAAACGCACUGACUCCUGUGGCUUCCCCUAUUGCCUCUGCCAAGCCUGGGACCCUGAUUGCCCAUCUUCUGUUGGAGGUGAGGAGUCCUUUCAUGGUUCCUCUUGAACUUUAGGACAACUUAGGUGCCCUGAAGUACUUAAGGAGUCCUUUUUUGGAAGGGAGUUAUUGAAAUUGUGCCGAUUUUUUUCCAGAGGUGGACCCUAAGCUCCAGAUGACAAGUGCUUCUGCGCGGAGAGGGUGGUUUCGAGUCCUUGGUGAAAGGGAUCUGGAGUUUGGUGCCUCUCCUUUUCUCCUAAAAACAGGUGGUUCAGACCACGGAGGGUUUCUAUUUUUGGCGGGAGAAGAAACAUAGACCUCCACCACUGCGGGACAUCCUUAACAACAGCAAGCCGACUGAGGGAAAAUGGAAAUGGAUCAUAUUUUAAAACAGUGUUAUGGGUGUUGUUCCCAGACCACAGCCCAGCAGGGAUAUUUUAUCCCGUCCUCAGUGCAGGUCUGCCCCCUAUGGGCCAGAUUCUCGAUUUAUUAGUUUCAUCAAGUCUGGUAAGGCUCAGAAGAUGCAUCU